AAGUUUGGAUUAUAUUUCACCUGUUUGCGUGUGAAACUUCAGAUGGAAAGAAUUAUUUACUCAAAAAAUAUGUUAAAAAUAUUUUCGAUUGAUGAUAGGAACAUUCUUAGAGUUUACUAGAAAGAUUGUUAAUUGAAGACAAUAAUGCUCUUGCUGAGAAUCAACGACAUCAUAUCAAGAAUGAUGGAUUGGUAAAAAACUAUUUGUACUAAAGAAUUCACUUACAUGAACUUAUUGUUAGUCAUCUUGAAGCCUAGGACCUGAAUGUACCUUGAAGAGUCGAUGUUUGCAGAUAUUAUUUUGGAGCUAUAUACUUAUUUAAGGCUAUGAAAGAAAUCUAGUGGAUAUUUUUCGAUAAUUAUAAAUCAUAUAUUUCAUAUUUUUUAAAUAAUUCUUACAAUUUCAUUGCUUAAGAUUUUUUGAGAAAAAAGUAUUUUAUUAGUACUCGCAUUUUUCGGGUAUUUAAACAUGGCUUGUCAUACGCACUAUGAUUUCUGUCCAAACAACUCCUGCGUGAAGUUGUUCUGUGCACAUCAUCAACAGUUUGCGACGGAAUGAUUCUGCGCAUGACAAGAAACUUUCGAAAGUGAAAUACAUGUGUGAAUUAAUUAAAUUGAAACUAAAAAUUUCUCAAAGCAAUUUUAAAUAAAAUUAUUAAAUUAAA
Long non-coding RNA from Chelonus insularis, 664 nucleotides. RefSeq lists it as uncharacterized. NCBI's taxonomy places the organism in Eukaryota, Metazoa, Arthropoda, Insecta, Hymenoptera, Braconidae. The transcript is spliced from 2 exons. The record is from RefSeq and is a predicted model, not a curated record.